This 463-nucleotide ribosomal RNA is filed under the name uncultured bacterium. RNAcentral describes it as "partial 16S ribosomal RNA". It matches the Rfam family "Bacterial small subunit ribosomal RNA", at positions 28 to 507 of the family's 1533-position model. The record is from RNAcentral.
GAUGAACGCUGACAGCAUGCUUAACACAUGCAAGUCGAUGGGGAAGUGGUGCUUGCACCAUGGUAACCAUGGCGGACGGGUGAGUAACACGUAAGGAACUUACCUGCGGGACCGGGAUAACAGCAGGAAACUGCUGACAAGACCGGAUAAGGUCAUUAAGCUGCAUAGCUUAGUGAUGAAAGGAGACGCCUGCGGAGAGCCUUGCGUCCUAUUAGCUAGUUGGAGGGGUAACGGCCCACCAAGGCGAAGAUAGGUAGCCGGCCUGAGAGGGUGGACGGCCACAAGGGGACUGAGAUACGGCCCUUACUCCUACGGGAGGCAGCAGUGGGGAAUAUUGGACAAUGGGGGCAACCCUGAUCCAGCAAUUCUGUGUGCACGAAGACGGUUUUCGGAUUGUAAAGUGCUUUCAGCAGGGAAGAAGGAAGUGACGGUACCUGCAGAAGAAGCGACGGCUAAAUACGUG